GGAAAGGUGGUCGAGCGGUUUAUGACAGCAGUCUUGAAAACUGCCGAGGUGCGAGCCUCCGUGGGUUCGAAUCCCACCCUUUCCGCCA
RNAcentral lists this transfer RNA (88 nucleotides) under Phascolarctobacterium sp. RNAcentral describes it as "tRNA-Ser". It matches the Rfam family "tRNA". Rfam says of the family: Transfer RNA (tRNA) molecules are approximately 80 nucleotides in length. Their secondary structure includes four short double-helical elements and three loops (D, anti-codon, and T loops). Further hydrogen bonds mediate the characteristic L-shaped molecular structure. tRNAs have two regions of fundamental functional importance: the anti-codon, which is responsible for specific mRNA codon recognition, and the 3' end, to which the tRNAs corresponding amino acid is attached (by aminoacyl-tRNA synthetases). tRNAs cope with the degeneracy of the genetic code in two manners: having more than one tRNA (with a specific anti-codon) for a particular amino acid; and 'wobble' base-pairing, i.e. permitting non-standard base-pairing at the 3rd anti-codon position. Lineage: Bacteria; Bacillati; Bacillota; Negativicutes; Acidaminococcales; Acidaminococcaceae. The record is from RNAcentral.